UUAGGGUUAUUUACAGCAAGGCCAGCUAUUCUGGUUGCUAUAUUUUUCUCCACUGUUUAUCUUACAGUACUCAGAAAUUUGGAUUUAAAUAUGGUUAUGCUUUUGCCAAACAAGAACAACAAAACUAGUGUGCAACAGCCAUUGAUAAUGGGAUUUAGGUUGGAUAAGGCUGUAAAUGAGGACAUGGGGGGAGUAAGGGACAGUGAAAUGAUGAUAAGAUGAAUGACUUAGUAAUGACUGCAGGCUGGAAGAAUUGUGUGGAGAGAAUGAGGUGAAACAAUAGGAAGUGACGGCAGAGUGGGAUGCCUGUAAUGAGCACUAAGGAGACAAUGCAGUUGCUCUGUAUAACAAGCUCUAGGAUCACGUCCAGGGGAGUGAGGGGCCAGGCUGGGUAAAGAGGCAGAGGGGACGCCUGAGCUUGUGGUGACAGCAGCAAUGAAGAGCACUGAUGGGCUGUGAGAGGUCUUUGAAAUGCUCACGGAAAGCGCAUGAAGAAACAUUGCCCGGACUUCAAAGGUUUUUUACACCCAAAUACUUACCUUUAAUUCAAUUUUCCCUCAAACUUUCUGAAGUAUCCUCAUAAGCUGACAACCAACAUUCAAGAUGAGGGGAUUUUAGGAAUAAGGAACGAUUGGAAAGUGACCUUGAAGCAGCAACAGGGAACAAAGAAGGCAUAGUCUCUCCUUCUAGGAGUGUAAUGGGGAUUGUGGGGGCUAAGAGUCCACCUGCGAGUCUGAGGGCUGCCUGACGGAGAGCAUAAGCACAUGACGAGAGUGAAGACAAUUGCUGCCUCCUCACCAAUGCUCCUGGAACCGCAGGAAAUGAGAUGCACCUGCCACUGAACUAGGACUCUGGACUCUGGCAACCAGGGCUGGACCCACACUGGUCACUAACUGGCUCUAAACCAAAGGACAGCUUGAAUUAUUGAGCCGUGAACUGCUCACCUGGACUGAGCAGACCCUGCCCUGGUGAUCAUGGUCAAGACUCAAGUGCUGAUUGCAGUCAGUCUCCUCCACUUCCCCUCGUUCAUGAUCAUACCUGC
Oryctolagus cuniculus (rabbit) is the source of this 1042-nucleotide non-coding RNA. The record is from RefSeq and is a predicted model, not a curated record. NCBI's taxonomy places the organism in Eukaryota, Metazoa, Chordata, Mammalia, Lagomorpha, Leporidae.